UCUCCGUUGGUGAACCAGCGGAGGGAUCAUUACCGAGUUUACAACUCCCAAACCCCUGUGAACAUGCCAUUUGUUGCCUCGGCGGUGCCUGCUUCGGCAGCCCGCCAGAGGACCCAAACCCUUGAUUUUAUACAGUAUCUUCUGAGUAAAUGAUUAAAUAAAUCAAAACUUUCAACAACGGAUCUCUUGGUUCUG
RNAcentral lists this unclassified non-coding RNA (195 nucleotides) under plant metagenome. RNAcentral describes it as "partial contains small subunit ribosomal RNA, internal transcribed spacer 1, and 5.8S ribosomal RNA". The record is from RNAcentral.